AACAUGCUUCCUUAGAUCCAUCUUUGUUUGAUGUCUCUGCUGAGUUCUGCUUAUAGAUUUUAUCAUGAGUAGCUCCAGCUAAGAGGGAUCAGCAACUUUUCUGUUGCACAGUCAAAGAUGCUUGAGUCAUUGGCAUGUAAGAAAAAUAUACCUUCAUUCUAGUCACUUACAUUCUGAUAGAAAUGGCUGUGCUGUAUGUCAUUUUCUCCUAUCAGAAUUUGGCUGGAGUGUGGACAUU
Ophiophagus hannah (king cobra) is the source of this 238-nucleotide small nucleolar RNA. It matches the Rfam family "Small nucleolar RNA SNORA53". From Rfam's summary of the family: The snoRNA ACA53 belongs to the H/ACA family of pseudouridylation guide snoRNAs. NCBI's taxonomy places the organism in Eukaryota, Metazoa, Chordata, Lepidosauria, Squamata, Elapidae. The record is from Rfam.